Molecule: ribosomal RNA, 731 nt
Filed under: uncultured bacterium
Lineage: Bacteria
Description: bacterial SSU rRNA
Rfam family: Bacterial small subunit ribosomal RNA
Source: RNAcentral
AACAGGAUUAGAUACCCUGGUAGUCCACGCCGUAAACGAUGAGUGCUAAGUGUUGGGGGCUUUCCGGCCCUCGGUGCUGGAGCUAACGUAUUAAGCACUCCGCCUGGGGAUUACGACCGCAAGGUUGAAACUCAAAAGAAUUGACGGGGACCCGCACAAGCGGUGGAGCAUGUGGUUUAAUUCGAAGCAACGCGAAGAACCUUACCAGCUCUUGACAUCUUCUGACAACUCUAGUGAUAGAGCGUUCCCUUCGGGGACAGAAUGACAGGUGGUGCAUGGUUGUCGUCAGCUCGUGUCGUGAGAUGUUGGGUUAAGUCCCGUAACGAGCGCAACCCUUGUUGUUAGUUGCCAGCAUUAAGUUGGGCACUUUAACGAGACUGCCGGUGAUAAACCGGAGGAAGGCGGGGAUGACGUCAAAUCAUCAUGCCCCUUAUGAGCUGGGCUACACACGUGCUACAAUGGAUGGUACAACGAGCAGCGAUCCCGCAAGGGCUAGCUAAUCUUUCAAAGCCAUUCUCAGUUCGGAUUGCACUCUGCAACUCGAGUGCAUGAAGUCGGAAUCGCUAGUAAUCGCGAAUCAGAAUGUCGCGGUGAAUCCGUUCCCGGGUCUUGUACACACCGCCCGUCACACCACGAGAGUUUGAAACACCCGAAGUCGGCCGGCCAACCCUAUGGGAGGCAGCCGUCGAAGGUGGGUUGAAUGAUUGGGGUGAAGUCGUAACAAGGUAACC